CGCCUGUAGAGCUCUACCCGGCGCGGGCAGCUUUGCGUUCACCUGACCGCUGGCACAGCAACCUGGGCGCCCCCAGCCUGCGGCGCGACCUCCCCCCGACUUGCUUCUUCGUGAUGUGCUGCUUUGCUUUUGUUUCCCCUAGACCGCGGGAGCGGCGGGGGCUGGACUCUCCGCGCCGGCGAGACUCCCGGCCCAGACGCUUGUGCUCUCGCGACCGGCGUUUGCAAAGUUGGUAUUUAACCAAAGGCAAAUGCCUACCUGGGGGUCCAGAAGAGGGGGGAUCAAAGGGGCUCCUGAUGAUUCACAGCCUCCCAUUCUUCACGUUUUCUUUGACAAGUGUGCCCCCCUGUCUCUGGACUGUCAGUUCCACCAGCGCACAUGUCCUUGUCACCGCUAUUUUGUUCAUCAGUGACGUGCCAGAGUUAGCAUAUGCCAGGCCCGAACAGACCCGGCUUCCAGGACCAAGCUGGCCUGAGCCGCCAGCGUCCCUUGCUUGGACCAGAGGGUAGCCAAAGCCUGAACAGGACAGGGCCAUCACCGAAGAGGUUCCUGAGGGAGGUACAAAAGGGAGUGCAAAACAGGAGAGGAGCGUUCAGAACGUUCUUCGCAAUCCGACACAGCUUCGGCAUCCCAGCGCGGGAUCCGCGGAACAAGGGAGAGCUGGAGGAGGGCUUGGUUUUCUCCCUACUGUUACCAGAGUGCCUAGAACAGUUCCUGGCACAGAAUGGAACUCCAGAAAUAUUUUCUGGAUAAAGGAGAGGAUGGAUGGAAAUGAAGAAUCUUGAGAAGUGAAUCUGGAAGGCCUUAACUGAUGGAUUCUCUCCUGAAGCCGCCUGUCAGCAGGUCUGUACUGAGGACGGGCAUGCCCAAAAUGGCACCGCAUACUGUGACUGAGCGCACGUUCAAUUUGGAAACACGACUAAGUGUUCCUCAUGCCAGCAGGUAGGGUGUGGAACGCCAGCUGUGGGGGUUUGGCAUGGGGGUGGGGAAGGAAUGUGGUGUUAACAC
Long non-coding RNA from Mustela erminea (ermine), 1008 nucleotides. RefSeq lists it as uncharacterized. The transcript is spliced from 3 exons. The record is from RefSeq and is a predicted model, not a curated record. NCBI's taxonomy places the organism in Eukaryota, Metazoa, Chordata, Mammalia, Carnivora, Mustelidae.